CCUACGGGGGGCAGCAGUGGGGAAUAUUGGACAAUGGGGGCAACCCUGAUCCAGCCAUGCCGCGUGUGUGAAGAAGGCCCUCGGGUUGUAAAGCACUUUCUGUGAGGAAGAACGCCUGGUGGUUAAUACCCAUCAGGAAAGACAUCACUCACAGAAGAAGCACCGGCUAACUCCGUGCCAGCAGCCGCGGUAAUACGGAGGGUGCGAGCGUUAAUCGGAAUUACUGGGCGUAAAGCGCGCGUAGGUGGCUUGAUAAGCCGGUCGUGAAAGCCCCGGGCUCAACCUGGGAACGGCAUCCGGAACUGUCAAGCUAGAGUGCAGGAGAGGAAGGUAGAAUUCCCGGUGUAGCGGUGAAAUGCGUAGAGAUCGGGAGGAAUACCAGUGGCGAAGGCGGCCUUCUGGACUGACACUGACACUGAGGUGCGAAAGCGUGGGUAGCAAACAGGAUUAGAUACCCCAGUAGUC
This 465-nucleotide ribosomal RNA is filed under the name Vreelandella stevensii. Its description in RNAcentral is "partial 16S ribosomal RNA". It matches the Rfam family "Bacterial small subunit ribosomal RNA", at positions 338 to 795 of the family's 1533-position model. Lineage: Bacteria; Pseudomonadati; Pseudomonadota; Gammaproteobacteria; Oceanospirillales; Halomonadaceae. The record is from RNAcentral.